ACCCGGAAGGGGCCUGAAAAAAUAUGGUUAAGAGGACAUUGACCCAUGUGGCUGAGAAUCGAACCAGGUUGGAGAAGAUCUGGUUCCCAAGUCCAGGAGGAGUGAAGCCACGGAGAAAGGACCAGAAAACAGAAUAUAUGUCCGGGGGAAAUGCUGUCUGUUUCAGCAAACCAGGAAAAAGUGGACUCCGACGGCGACUGACCUUGGUGAAAAGCAUGGUGCAGGUCCAGGAUGGAGCGAUGGUGAGAGACAGCAAGAGAGGGAACACAAGCAGGGGGAGCGGAAGAGGAAGAAGCAGGCUUCCC
Long non-coding RNA from Zalophus californianus (California sea lion), 305 nucleotides. RefSeq lists it as uncharacterized. The transcript has 3 exons. The record is from RefSeq and is a predicted model, not a curated record. Lineage: Eukaryota; Metazoa; Chordata; Mammalia; Carnivora; Otariidae.